This is a ribosomal RNA of Bison bison bison, 115 nucleotides long. NCBI's taxonomy places the organism in Eukaryota, Metazoa, Chordata, Mammalia, Artiodactyla, Bovidae. The record is from Ensembl.
UUCUACGGCCAUACCACCCUGAACGCGCCUGAUCUCGUCUGAUCUCGACGGCUCACAUUUGGUGGUGGUCUUGUCAUCUCCUACCUCUUUCUCGUAAAGCUGGCAGCUGAGGGAA